RNAcentral lists this transfer RNA (94 nucleotides) under Streptomyces cellulosae. Its description in RNAcentral is "tRNA-Arg". The record is from RNAcentral. Lineage: Bacteria; Bacillati; Actinomycetota; Actinomycetes; Kitasatosporales; Streptomycetaceae.
UGGUGCGGGGCGACGAGGGUGCCGUCGCGCAGUCCUUCGACCACGGCGUCGCGGACGGCCGCGGUGUGCCGGGGGUCGCGUCCUCGCGCGUCGG